GAAAUUUUGUGAGUUGAAAGAGAAUGGAAAUGAAAUAAAAUGUGUAGUGGAAAUCCUGAGCUGUAUCUACCACUUUAUAUAAUAAAAUAAAUGUUAAUUUGUAAAAUAUUAGUUUAAAGGUGACUUAUAAUUGCAGUAGUAUGUAGAGUUUAGUUGUAUGAAAUUGAAAAGUACGUACUAUUAAAAGCCAAACAUAAAUCCACUAAAAGGAAGUAGUAGAUGUUGGUGAAAUAGGUCAAAACAUGUGCUUCAAUCUCAGUAGCAGUAGUGAGAAUGGUCAUUAUCGGUUUUCAGCAGGCUGAUAUAAUUUUGAGCUUCCCUUAACUUGGCAGACCUAAGGAAUUGUAGGCCUGUAUUCCUGUCUCCUUCUAUGAACUUGACACAUUUAGCUUUAUCCUUCCAAGAGCCUGAAUGUAUCUGGACAUGCAUUCAAACUCUUCCUGAUUUCUAGCAUUGUUGGAACCCAACUGAUCAACUUCCCUGCUCCAGAGUCUUUAAUUUGUAGUGAAGAAUAUGCAUAGGUGAUAGGUGUUCCCUCAGCCAAAACAGACCAAUGAGCAGAAAUUAGAGAUUCACAACUGUCAUAAGUGGUCCAGGAUUUAUAAAAUUUAAAUCUAGGAAUAAUUACCUCAAAUCAUGUUGGGAAAUGCCUGCAUAAUUUCCCUCCUCCGUCAACUCAAAAUAGGCACUAGCGGAAACGUGAAAUAAAAGCGUAAUGACACAAAGAGAAUUUUAGCGUGGAAAACCUUCUCAAUAUGAGAAAGGGAAAAACCACGGGACCCUUGGGCCUCUUAAAAACUUCCACUAUAAUGAUAAUGGGAAUACAACAACUUCACCCUUAGGUGGAUCUCACUACAAUAUAUCUCUCAAUUUGUAAGGAACACUCUCACAAAUUGGCUCACUAUUUCUCUCACAAGAAAACUCUCUAUGAGGAUGACUUUUCUCUUGAGCAAGGUUCUCUUUCUCUCUUGCUCUUUGUUGUUCUUCUCUUAUGGUGUGUUGUGAAUGCUUGAUCAUGGUCCUAUUUAUAGGAGGAGCAAGCCAAAGUUGCCUUACAUGCAUGAAGACACUUGUCAUUUGCCUUUCAUGCAAAACACCAAGUGUCCCUUGCAAUGCAUGCACCACACCAAGUGUCUCUCAUGCAUUACACCAUGUGUUACUCAUACACUACACCAUGUGUACACCAUGCAUCCUGCUACUUAUCAUCACAUGCAACCUUCCAUCUUGUCAAAUGUAUGUUGGACAUGUGGCAAUGGCUGGACCCCACAUUUCUCCCCCUCCAGCCAUAGGGGAGUGCCUUGAUUAAUUUGGGGUUGCUGCCAAUCCAGCAGCUUGUUUGCAAAACUCUAUCUUCUCUUUUGGUAGAGCUUUUGUCAUCAUAUCUGCUCCGUUCUCAUUGGUGUGAACUUUCUCUACUUUCAACAAUUUACUUUCCAACACAUCACGAAUCCAGUGAUACCUCACAUCAAUGUGUUUUGAUCUGGAGUGGUAUGUUGAGUUCUUGCUGAGAUGAAUUGCGCUCUGACUGUCGCAAUAGAGAACAUAACUUUCUUGACUUUGGCCUAACUCUUGCAGGAACUUCUUCAUCCACAGGAUCUCCUUACAACCUUCAGUGAUUGCGAUGUAUUCAGCUUCUGUGGUACUCAAAGCAAUGCACUUUUGUAAUCGUGAUUGCCAUGAAACAGCUCCCCCUGCAAAAGUGAUCAAAUAUCCGGAAGUAGAUUUUCUGGAAUCUACAUCUCCUGCCAUAUCUGCAUCUACAUGCCCAAUGAGUAAUUGAUUUUCAUUGCCAAAGCGCAAACAUUGUUUGGCAGUUCCUCUUAGAUACCUCAAUAUCCAUUUCACAGCAUUCCAAUGCUCUUUUCCUGGAUUCGACAGGAAUCUACUCACAACUCCUACCGCAUAAGCAAUGUCUGGUCUUGUGCAAACCAUUGCGUACAUAAGGCUACCCACAGCUGAAGAAUAGGGCACCUUGCUCAUUUCUUCUUUCUCUUGGUCAUUCUCAGGACAUUGUGUCUUACUGAGUUUCAAAUGACCAGGUAGUGGAACAUGCACAGGUUUUGCAUUAUGCAUGUUGAACCUUUCAAGAACUUUCUUGAUAUAAUCUUCUUGUGACAUCCACAACAUUCUUUUAGAACGAUCUCUAACGAUCUUCAUUCCAAGAAUCUUCUUCACUGCACCCAAAUCCUUCAUAGCAAAAGAUUUGCUCAAAGCUUUCUUGAGAGCAGCUAUCUUUGCUUUAUCUUUUCCAACAAUAAGCAUAUCAUCAACAUACAAUAAGAGUAUGAUGGAUUCUCCAUUUUCAUAGUUCUUCACAAACACGCAAUGAUCUGUUGACAUCUUUGUGAAAUAGUGUUGGGUCAUGAAGAGAUCAAACUUCUUGUACCAUUGUCUUGGAGCCUGUUUUAAGCCAUAUAGACUUUUCUUCAAGCGACACACAAGGUGUUCUUUGCCUGGUUCAAUGAAACCUUCAGGUUGCUCCAUGUAGAUUUCUUCCUCUAGCUCUCCGUGCAAGAAUGUUGUUUUAACAUCAAGUUGUUCUAUUUCUAAGUCUAGUUUUGCAGUUAGACCAAGGAUUGCUCUAAUGGAUGUCAUCUUCACCACCGGUGAGAAUAUUUCUUCAAAAUCAACGUCUUUCUUUUGAUGGCACCCCUUCACGACUAUUCGUGCCUUGUAUCUGGGAUUUGGGUUGUUCUCUUCAGACUUGAGUUUAAACACCCAUUUAUUUUUCAAUGCCCUCUUUCCAUCUGGUAAUUUGACCAGGUCAUACGUGUCAUUCUCCUUUAGGGAUUGCAUCUCUUCUUCCAUGGAUUGCAACCAUUUUUCUUUAUUGGUUGUCUCUAUGGCUUCCAUGAAGCUUUGAGGUUCGCCUUCCUCGGUGAAGUUUACAUAUUCACCUGAGAAGUAUCUUCUUGAUGGUUGUCUAGAUCUCGUUGAUCUUCUCAAUUGAGGUUCUUGUUCCAUCUCAACAUCAUCAUCAUCAUCUGCCAUAUGCUCUUCAUGUAUUGCUUGAUUUUGGUCUACCUGAUCAGGCUCAUCCAUCUGAUUGGGUUCUGUUAGCUGAUCACGAUCAUAAUUCAUUUGAGGAAUCUCUCCCCCUGAAUUGUGUACCACAAUGGCCUUUGGCUUAUUAGAUUGAAUGUCGUGGAUUGUCUGAUCUUCAUAGAAUACCACAUCUCUACUUCGAACAAGUUUUUUAGUAGCAGGAUCCCAUAAUCUAAAGCCAAGUUCAUCUCUUGGUGAACCAAGGUAUAUGCACUCCUUCGUCUUAGCAUCUAGCUUUGCUUUUUCAUCUUUUGGAACAUGGACAAAUGCCCUGCAUCCAAAGACUCUCAAAUGACCAUAGAAGGCUUUCUUUCCAUACCAUACUUCAUCUGGUAUCUCUCCAUUUAAAGGUCUUGAAGGAGACAAAUUUAUCAAAUCAACUGCAGUUCUCACUACUUCACCCCAAAAUGAUUUGGGAAGUUUUGCUUGAGAAAGCAUGCUUCUGACUUUCUCUGCAAUUGUUCUAUUCAUCCUUUCAGCUACUCCAUUCAUCUGAGGAGUCUUGGGAGGUACUUUCUCAUGUCUUAUUCCAUGAGAUUUACAGUAGGCUGCAAAUUGGCCUAUAUACUCUCCACCAUUAUCUGUCCUUAAACAUUUCAGUUUUCUACCAGAUGCCUGUUCUACAUAGGCAUGAAAUUCUUUGAAAACAUGAAGAACUUGAUCUUUCGUCUUCAAUGGAUACACCCAUACUUUUCUAGAGUGAUCGUCAAUGAAGGUAACAAAGUAUUGUGAGCCACCAAGGGACCUUUCAGAUGUAGAGCAAACAUCUGAAUGAACAAGAUCUAAGAUAUGCUUUCUUCUUCUUGCAUCAUCUGAUCUUUGAAAGGAUACUCUGUGUUGUUUUCCUGCUAGACAAUCUUCACGGGAUUCAAGUGGUUGACCCUUGAUGUUUGGAAGAUGAUUCUUAGCAAGAAUAUCCAAACUUUUCUCGCUCAUGUGGCCAAGUCGUUUGUGCCACAAUUCCUUGCUCUUGUCUUGAGAUACAUUAAUAUCUCCCUUGUUUAUCUUUCCCUGCAUCAUAUACAGAGAGCCUUCCUUUUUACCACGAGCAAUGGUCAUACUUCCCUUACUGAGCUUCCAUCUACCAGCUCCAAAUUGGUUUAUCAUCCCAGCAUCAUCUAACUUUCCUGUUGAGAUAAGGUUUAGACGCAUGUCUGGAACAUGUCUAACCUCCUUCAAUACGAGCUUACAACCAUUCUCUGUAACCAUAGUCACCUCGCCAAUGCCAACAAUUGCUUGUGACUUGAUUGCCCAUCUUCACCAUACCAAAAUCUCCUUUUUGAUAUGAUGAGAAGAAUUCUUCAUGAGGGGUUACAUACAUGAAAGGAUGCUCCUGAGUCAAUUUUCCAAAUGCAGUCAUCAGACGCUACAUUUAGAUAGUUCUCCUCUUCAACAAGAAAGAAAUUCUCGUUAGUUGCUACGACUGCUGUCGUGAUUCCAUCUUCUUUAUUCUUCUUUGGGUUUAUCAGAUCUGGAUGGACUGUUCCAACCUGUUGAUUUUCUUCAAGAAUCUGCACUCAUGUCUUUUGUGACCCGGUUUGCCACAAUAAUAACAACUUGGUCUAGUGCGGGACUUGGAUCGAGCUUGUGAUCUCCCACGACCACCUCUUUCACGAUUCUUACUCCUUCCUCUAUUAUCAACAAUAUUUGCUUCGAACUGGUUGUUGAAGCCUCUUUCCCUCCAUCUUGAUUCUUCACUUAGCAAGGAAUCUGUAACAGAAUCCAUGACAAGUUUCCCAUCUGGAGCAGAGUUACUGAGAGUGACGACUAGAGUGUCCCAACUCUCAGGUAGAGAACUUAGGAGUAGAAGAGUUUGCAACUCAUCAUCUAUCUUCAUGUCAGUCUUCGUUAGUUGAUUCACAAUACCUUUGAAUGUAUUCAAAUGCUCGAUCAUGUUAUGGUCAUCUGAGUACUCCAAUUUCACAAGUCGUCUAACAAGGUGGGCUUUGUUCCUUGGCGUCUUCUUUUGAAUCAAGGAUUCAAGUUUUAUUCAUAACUCAUACGCAUUGGUAUAAGUUGACACAUGCUCGAACAGACUUCUGUCGAUGUAUUUUCUGAUCAUGGCUACUGCCUUCCGAUUUUGAAGCUCCCACUCUGUAUCGGUCUUCUUCUCAGGUUUAUCCUUUCGGGUGAUUGACUCAUGAAAGUCUUUGCAAUACAAGUGGUCUUCCAUCAUCGGCUUCCAAUAUGAGUAGUUUUCAGCAGUUAGCUUGAACAUAUCACCAUCAUGGCUGAUUGAACUCUCCAUCUUGAGUUACACAGGAAAUAUUUUCUUUAACCAACUGCCUAAUAUCGUAUACUAAAAAAAAUAUGAGUUCGUGAAUAGUGCACCAGGAAGGUUCCCAGGUAAGAGAGGUGGGUCAAAAGACACGCUUAAAUACCAAGUCUUUCCUUGCCAGAACUCCUAGACAUGCAAUAUAUCACUACCUCAAUUUAUUUCUAGCGACAAGAAAUUUCUUUUCUGAUGUGGAAGAUCAAACAAUGUUGCAGCCACAGAGCAUACUAAGAACUAUCUUGCAGAUACGAUACCUCACAGUCCCAGAGCAACGAGUGCUCUGAUACCACUGUUGGGAAAUGCCUGCUGUAACACCCCGUUUCCCAAAAAUCAAUUAAUAAAACAUGCAUCAGAGUAAUUCCCAAACGGGCAUGUCACACUUCAUUUUCAAAAUUUCUUAAAUAGAAUAUAAAAUCAAUUUAGUAAACGUCCUUGAAAGUCAUCAUUAAAUUUGCAGCGGAAAAUUUGCAUCAAAACAACAACAGCAACAGUUUAAAUCUCCAUAAUUAAAUCUUUGGCAUAAAAGCCUUAUCAACAUAAAUUCAACAACCAUAGGGCUACGUCAGCAAUAUUCAAAAUUGAUACAUAGGAAUGAAAAACAAUAAGAAAAUCCCAUCCCAUACGUAUCAGAGCCCUAGACACUUUGAGCCACCACUUCUAAUAAGCUUCAAUACCUGCAAGUUACCCAUACGAAGGGCAACAAUUCCAAGCAGAAGGGGUGAGAUUCACAAACAAUAAUAAUAGAUAUAUAAAUCAUCAACUUAAUUAAAUAACGUAAUAAGCAACAUAUAUUCCCACAAUAAUAUUCAUACUUCUUCAACUUUAAUAACUCUUACUAAAUCAACCAACAACGACAACAACAACAAUAUCUCCAUCAACAACAACGACCACAACACAACCUACAACAACGACAAUAUCACCAUCAACGACAACGACAACAUCAUCCACUACAUCAACGACAACGAACGACAGGGUACUAUUUUCAACUCAAUGAAUGACUAAGCAUUCCGAGGCAUAAGCCCCCAACAAUUUGAAUGAUGAACAUUCCAGGGCAUGAGCCCUCAACAGAUUGAAUGACAAGGCAAUUCCAGGGCAUAAGCCCUCAACGGUUGAAUGAUUAACAUUCCAGGGCAUGAGCCCUCAACAAUUUGAAUGACAAAGCAUUCCAGAGCAUGAGCCCUCAACAGAUUGAAUGACAAGGCAUUCCAGGGCAUAAGCCCUCAACAUUUGAAUGACAAAGCAUUCCAGGGCAUAAGCCCUCAACGGUUGAAUGACGAGCAUUCCAGGGCAUGAGCCCUCAACGGUUUCCUAAUCAUGAAAGGACUCGACUUGUGUAUAUCAACAUACAACUCAACUACGACAACGACUGUGCAUAAUAACUUAUGACUUACUCCCCAACUUGGUCAACAUCAACAACCUAUGACUCCGUUACUUAGAACGACAACUUGCAACCUUACAACCUGAACCAACAUCUUGUAUAAUCCAAUUGAAUGCAUUUAUGCAUAAACCAACAAUCAGCAGCAAAUCAUAUUCAAUUCAACAACAACAUAUAAUAAUAAGCAGCGAGACAACAACAAUAAUAACCAUCAUAUACAACGAGUAGGACUCAUAUCAACAUCUUUCAUAAUAUAUAACUAUCUCCUCAUUUGUUCAUCAACCUAAGUCGACGUCAUUAAACAUUACAAACAUCCUCUCUGAAUCUCCGUAUAAUCAAGAAUAACUUCUCUCCUACCUCAAGGGUCUACUCAUAUCAUCACGUGCGACAAAAGAUCGCAAAAUCCUAAACAAGGCUUCUGAAAUGGGACAACUCGCGAGGCGAGAGGCUCUACUCGCCAUGGCGAGUUAGGGUAAACUACUCACCAUUCCAUUCUGACACCAUUCCAAGUUCGAUCUCAUUCUAAAACUUUGCCUAAUCAUUAAGGUAUAUGUUCAGGCCCUCAUAAACACCCAAGGUUAAACUCACAGCUCAAAAACACGAAAUCUUGCAAGCUCUCUGCCCACACUCGCCACGGCGAGUAAACUUGCUCGCUAUGGCGAGCUGCGAAAUGCAACUCGCGAGGCGACCACUCCUGCUCGCGAGGCGAGCGAUGAUCUUCAUCACUCGCUAUGGCGAGGUUCAUCACUCGGGAGGCGAGCGAUGAAUAACAGUACGGCCAGGUUACAGUUUUUCUCAAAAAUUCACCCAAUUCCAUGGUUCUAACCUUAGAACUGAUUCUAAACAUCAAUAUAUGAAUUAUCUAAAGUCUGUUCAUCAUUUCUACAUCAAUUCACCCUAAUUCCAUCAUUUAAUCAUCAAUUCUCUCCUUAACCCUAAUUCCCAAUUCUCCAAAUUUAUUCAUAAUCUUUAUUAAACAGAAUCAGAAUUAUAUAAACUAAAAUCAUUGCAAGUUAGCCUCACCCUUACCUUAGAUAAUCGAAAUCGCAGCCCUUCUUGGUUCUCUUCCCUUUUCUUGACUUUUCUCCCUUUUCUCUGUUGUACGUAAAAACUGCUUCCCCCACUUCUAUUUUCUAAUUCUUUAAUAAAUAUAAUCUCCCAAUAUUCACUUUACUCCCCCUAAGUUUACUUAAUUCUCGUAUAACCCCCAAACUCCAAUUAAAUCCUAUUUCUCACUUAUUCUAUUAAAUACUAAAAAUAGCCAUUUAAUAAAAUACACCACACCACAAAACAACAUAAAUGAUUUAAAAAUCAUAUAAAGGACUUUAAAUAACUAAAAAUAAUUAAAUAAAAUUGGGGCGUUACAACUCUCCCCAACUUUAGAAUUUUCGUCCUCGAAAAUAUACCUCUAAAACAUAACCCUGCACCACAAACAACAAUCAGAACAAUUAACAAUACAACAUUAGAGUUGACACUCUAUCCUAGGUGGCUCAACACGACUCUACUACUUGGCCGGACGGACCAACCUGCUCUGAUACCAAUUGUAACACCCCGUUUCCCAAAAAUCAAUUAAUAAAACAUGCAUCAGAGUAAUUCCCAAACGGGCAUGUCACACUUCAUUUUCAAAAUUUCUUAAAUAGAAUAUAAAAUCAAUUUAGUAAACGUCCUUGAAAGUCAUCAUUAAAUUUGCAGCGGAAAAUUUGCAUCAAAACAACAACAGCAACAGUUUAAAUCUCCAUAAUUAAAUCUUUGGCAUAAAAGCCUUAUCAACAUAAAUUCAACAACCAUAGGGCUACGUCAGCAAUAUUCAAAAUUGAUACAUAGGAAUGAAAAACAAUAAGAAAAUCCCAUCCCAUACGUAUCAGAGCCCUAGACACUUUGAGCCACCACUUCUAAUAAGCUUCAAUACCUGCAAGUUACCCAUACGAAGGGCAACAAUUCCAAGCAGAAGGGGUGAGAUUCACAAACAAUAAUAAUAGAUAUAUAAAUCAUCAACUUAAUUAAAUAACGUAAUAAGCAACAUAUAUUCCCACAAUAAUAUUCAUACUUCUUCAACUUUAAUAACUCUUACUAAAUCAACCAACAACGACAACAACAACAAUAUCUCCAUCAACAACAACGACCACAACACAACCUACAACAACGACAAUAUCACCAUCAACGACAACGACAACAUCAUCCACUACAUCAACGACAACGAACGACAGGGUACUAUUUUCAACUCAAUGAAUGACUAAGCAUUCCGAGGCAUAAGCCCCCAACAAUUUGAAUGAUGAACAUUCCAGGGCAUGAGCCCUCAACAGAUUGAAUGACAAGGCAAUUCCAGGGCAUAAGCCCUCAACGGUUGAAUGAUUAACAUUCCAGGGCAUGAGCCCUCAACAAUUUGAAUGACAAAGCAUUCCAGAGCAUGAGCCCUCAACAGAUUGAAUGACAAGGCAUUCCAGGGCAUAAGCCCUCAACAUUUGAAUGACAAAGCAUUCCAGGGCAUAAGCCCUCAACGGUUGAAUGACGAGCAUUCCAGGGCAUGAGCCCUCAACGGUUUCCUAAUCAUGAAAGGACUCGACUUGUGUAUAUCAACAUACAACUCAACUACGACAACGACUGUGCAUAAUAACUUAUGACUUACUCCCCAACUUGGUCAACAUCAACAACCUAUGACUCCGUUACUUAGAACGACAACUUGCAACCUUACAACCUGAACCAACAUCUUGUAUAAUCCAAUUGAAUGCAUUUAUGCAUAAACCAACAAUCAGCAGCAAAUCAUAUUCAAUUCAACAACAACAUAUAAUAAUAAGCAGCGAGACAACAACAAUAAUAACCAUCAUAUACAACGAGUAGGACUCAUAUCAACAUCUUUCAUAAUAUAUAACUAUCUCCUCAUUUGUUCAUCAACCUAAGUCGACGUCAUUAAACAUUACAAACAUCCUCUCUGAAUCUCCGUAUAAUCAAGAAUAACUUCUCUCCUACCUCAAGGGUCUACUCAUAUCAUCACGUGCGACAAAAGAUCGCAAAAUCCUAAACAAGGCUUCUGAAAUGGGACAACUCGCGAGGCGAGAGGCUCUACUCGCCAUGGCGAGUUAGGGUAAACUACUCACCAUUCCAUUCUGACACCAUUCCAAGUUCGAUCUCAUUCUAAAACUUUGCCUAAUCAUUAAGGUAUAUGUUCAGGCCCUCAUAAACACCCAAGGUUAAACUCACAGCUCAAAAACACGAAAUCUUGCAAGCUCUCUGCCCACACUCGCCACGGCGAGUAAACUUGCUCGCUAUGGCGAGCUGCGAAAUGCAACUCGCGAGGCGACCACUCCUGCUCGCGAGGCGAGCGAUGAUCUUCAUCACUCGCUAUGGCGAGGUUCAUCACUCGGGAGGCGAGCGAUGAAUAACAGUACGGCCAGGUUACAGUUUUUCUCAAAAAUUCACCCAAUUCCAUGGUUCUAACCUUAGAACUGAUUCUAAACAUCAAUAUAUGAAUUAUCUAAAGUCUGUUCAUCAUUUCUACAUCAAUUCACCCUAAUUCCAUCAUUUAAUCAUCAAUUCUCUCCUUAACCCUAAUUCCCAAUUCUCCAAAUUUAUUCAUAAUCUUUAUUAAACAGAAUCAGAAUUAUAUAAACUAAAAUCAUUGCAAGUUAGCCUCACCCUUACCUUAGAUAAUCGAAAUCGCAGCCCUUCUUGGUUCUCUUCCCUUUUCUUGACUUUUCUCCCUUUUCUCUGUUGUACGUAAAAACUGCUUCCCCCACUUCUAUUUUCUAAUUCUUUAAUAAAUAUAAUCUCCCAAUAUUCACUUUACUCCCCCUAAGUUUACUUAAUUCUCGUAUAACCCCCAAACUCCAAUUAAAUCCUAUUUCUCACUUAUUCUAUUAAAUACUAAAAAUAGCCAUUUAAUAAAAUACACCACACCACAAAACAACAUAAAUGAUUUAAAAAUCAUAUAAAGGACUUUAAAUAACUAAAAAUAAUUAAAUAAAAUUGGGGCGUUACAACUCUCCCCAACUUUAGAAUUUUCGUCCUCGAAAAUAUACCUCUAAAACAUAACCCUGCACCACAAACAACAAUCAGAACAAUUAACAAUACAACAUUAGAGUUGACACUCUAUCCUAGGUGGCUCAACACGACUCUACUACUUGGCCGGACGGACCAACCUGCUCUGAUACCAAUUGUAACACCCCGUUUCCCAAAAAUCAAUUAAUAAAACAUGCAUCAGAGUAAUUCCCAAACGGGCAUGUCACACUUCAUUUUCAAAAUUUCUUAAAUAGAAUAUAAAAUCAAUUUAGUAAACGUCCUUGAAAGUCAUCAUUAAAUUUGCAGCGGAAAAUUUGCAUCAAAACAACAACAGCAACAGUUUAAAUCUCCAUAAUUAAAUCUUUGGCAUAAAAGCCUUAUCAACAUAAAUUCAACAACCAUAGGGCUACGUCAGCAAUAUUCAAAAUUGAUACAUAGGAAUGAAAAACAAUAAGAAAAUCCCAUCCCAUACGUAUCAGAGCCCUAGACACUUUGAGCCACCACUUCUAAUAAGCUUCAAUACCUGCAAGUUACCCAUACGAAGGGCAACAAUUCCAAGCAGAAGGGGUGAGAUUCACAAACAAUAAUAAUAGAUAUAUAAAUCAUCAACUUAAUUAAAUAACGUAAUAAGCAACAUAUAUUCCCACAAUAAUAUUCAUACUUCUUCAACUUUAAUAACUCUUACUAAAUCAACCAACAACGACAACAACAACAAUAUCUCCAUCAACAACAACGACCACAACACAACCUACAACAACGACAAUAUCACCAUCAACGACAACGACAACAUCAUCCACUACAUCAACGACAACGAACGACAGGGUACUAUUUUCAACUCAAUGAAUGACUAAGCAUUCCGAGGCAUAAGCCCCCAACAAUUUGAAUGAUGAACAUUCCAGGGCAUGAGCCCUCAACAGAUUGAAUGACAAGGCAAUUCCAGGGCAUAAGCCCUCAACGGUUGAAUGAUUAACAUUCCAGGGCAUGAGCCCUCAACAAUUUGAAUGACAAAGCAUUCCAGAGCAUGAGCCCUCAACAGAUUGAAUGACAAGGCAUUCCAGGGCAUAAGCCCUCAACAUUUGAAUGACAAAGCAUUCCAGGGCAUAAGCCCUCAACGGUUGAAUGACGAGCAUUCCAGGGCAUGAGCCCUCAACGGUUUCCUAAUCAUGAAAGGACUCGACUUGUGUAUAUCAACAUACAACUCAACUACGACAACGACUGUGCAUAAUAACUUAUGACUUACUCCCCAACUUGGUCAACAUCAACAACCUAUGACUCCGUUACUUAGAACGACAACUUGCAACCUUACAACCUGAACCAACAUCUUGUAUAAUCCAAUUGAAUGCAUUUAUGCAUAAACCAACAAUCAGCAGCAAAUCAUAUUCAAUUCAACAACAACAUAUAAUAAUAAGCAGCGAGACAACAACAAUAAUAACCAUCAUAUACAACGAGUAGGACUCAUAUCAACAUCUUUCAUAAUAUAUAACUAUCUCCUCAUUUGUUCAUCAACCUAAGUCGACGUCAUUAAACAUUACAAACAUCCUCUCUGAAUCUCCGUAUAAUCAAGAAUAACUUCUCUCCUACCUCAAGGGUCUACUCAUAUCAUCACGUGCGACAAAAGAUCGCAAAAUCCUAAACAAGGCUUCUGAAAUGGGACAACUCGCGAGGCGAGAGGCUCUACUCGCCAUGGCGAGUUAGGGUAAACUACUCACCAUUCCAUUCUGACACCAUUCCAAGUUCGAUCUCAUUCUAAAACUUUGCCUAAUCAUUAAGGUAUAUGUUCAGGCCCUCAUAAACACCCAAGGUUAAACUCACAGCUCAAAAACACGAAAUCUUGCAAGCUCUCUGCCCACACUCGCCACGGCGAGUAAACUUGCUCGCUAUGGCGAGCUGCGAAAUGCAACUCGCGAGGCGACCACUCCUGCUCGCGAGGCGAGCGAUGAUCUUCAUCACUCGCUAUGGCGAGGUUCAUCACUCGGGAGGCGAGCGAUGAAUAACAGUACGGCCAGGUUACAGUUUUUCUCAAAAAUUCACCCAAUUCCAUGGUUCUAACCUUAGAACUGAUUCUAAACAUCAAUAUAUGAAUUAUCUAAAGUCUGUUCAUCAUUUCUACAUCAAUUCACCCUAAUUCCAUCAUUUAAUCAUCAAUUCUCUCCUUAACCCUAAUUCCCAAUUCUCCAAAUUUAUUCAUAAUCUUUAUUAAACAGAAUCAGAAUUAUAUAAACUAAAAUCAUUGCAAGUUAGCCUCACCCUUACCUUAGAUAAUCGAAAUCGCAGCCCUUCUUGGUUCUCUUCCCUUUUCUUGACUUUUCUCCCUUUUCUCUGUUGUACGUAAAAACUGCUUCCCCCACUUCUAUUUUCUAAUUCUUUAAUAAAUAUAAUCUCCCAAUAUUCACUUUACUCCCCCUAAGUUUACUUAAUUCUCGUAUAACCCCCAAACUCCAAUUAAAUCCUAUUUCUCACUUAUUCUAUUAAAUACUAAAAAUAGCCAUUUAAUAAAAUACACCACACCACAAAACAACAUAAAUGAUUUAAAAAUCAUAUAAAGGACUUUAAAUAACUAAAAAUAAUUAAAUAAAAUUGGGGCGUUACACCUGCAUAAUUUCCCUCCUCCGUCAACUCAAAAUAAGCACUAGCGGAAACGUGAAAUAAAAGUGUAAUGACACAAAGAGAAUUUUAGCAUGGAAAACCUUCUCAAUAUGAGAAAGGGAAAAACCACGGGACCCUUGGGCCUCUUAAAAACUUCCACUAUAAUGAUAAUGGGAAUACAACAACUUCACCCUUAGGUGGAUCUCACUACAAUAUAUCUCUCAAUUUGUAAGGAACACUCUCACAAAUUGGCUCGCUAUUUCUCUCACAAGAAAACUCUCUAUGAGGAUGACUUUUCUCUUGAGCAAGGUUCUCUUUCUCUCUUGCUCUUUGUUGUUCUUCUCUUAUGGUGUGUUGUGAAUGCUUGAUCAUGGUCCUAUUUAUAGGAGGAGCAAGCCAAAGUUGCCUUACAUGCAUGAAGACACUUGUCAUUUGCCUUUCAUGCAAAACACCAAGUGUCCCUUGCAAUGCAUGCACCACACCAAGUGUCUCUCAUGCAUUACACCAUGUGUUACUCAUACACUACACCAUGUGUACACCAUGCAUCCUGCUACUUGUCAUCACAUGCAACCUUCCAUCUUGUCAAAUGUAUGUUGG
RNAcentral lists this long non-coding RNA (13874 nucleotides) under Medicago truncatula (barrel medic). RNAcentral describes it as "long non-coding RNA (MTRU_LNC001339)". The record is from RNAcentral. Lineage: Eukaryota; Viridiplantae; Streptophyta; Magnoliopsida; Fabales; Fabaceae.